RNAcentral lists this long non-coding RNA (905 nucleotides) under Anser brachyrhynchus (Pink-footed goose). RNAcentral describes it as "lncRNA (ENSABRG00000011942.1)". The record is from RNAcentral. Lineage: Eukaryota; Metazoa; Chordata; Aves; Anseriformes; Anatidae.
CUCGGGCCUGCCGCCGGCACCGGGCAGCCGGAGCGGGACGGCGCCGGUGGGAGCCCGGAGGGAGCCCGGGGCCUCCCGAGGCCCGGCCUCGGGUGUCUGUGGCCGGGGCUCAGCGCCCGCCGGGCCCCCUGGGCUCGCAGUGCUGGGCUGGUGCGGGGAGUGGGGCUGCAGAAAAAAUCAGUGGUUGGUGGAAUCAGGCAUGUCCUUUAUCUACAGAGUGCAAAGGCUGGUUUGCAGGUCCACUGCUCCCUGCUUUUACUCUCCGUUUGACGUUUCUAACUGUUUCCCUUUGGCAGAUCACGAGUGGCUUCUGCUUCCAGAAAUGCAGAGAUAUUUCUAUCUAAUUGUACCCUGCCACCCAGCUUCAGUUUCUUGGUGCUGUGUUUUGGGCUGUGAUUUCAUGUCUUUCACCUUACUCCAGACAGAAGCAUAACUGCUCCUACCUUUGUAGAAGAACCUGUGAAGGCUGAUAACCAGUUGCAUAACCUUCAAAGAAGUUUAAUCCCAACAUCCAUUAUUCUUCUGUAUUAUAUUCACAAGCACUAAAUGGUGAUAUAUGUAUUUAACAGGCCCUUCUAAAUUUCAAACUUGUAUAUACUCAGAAUUUAUAUUAUCAUAUUUCCCUAACUUAUUUUGGAAGAAGUUCCAUUUAAUUGAAAAACAAGUCUUUUCUAUUGCUUUUUGUGAUAUCUUACAGAAUUCUCUAUCUCUCACAAUUUUAUAUUACAUGGAGUAAGCUGGUUGAAAACAUAACAUCAUCAUUUUUUGAAUUCUGUAUUCAUUUCUGUUAAUUUAAGUUCUGUGAUACUCUAGAGUUAUUUUAUGGAAGUCCACGCUUUUUUUUUUCUAGGUAAAUUACAAUUAACAUUUUUAAAAGUAAAAUAAAUACCUAGUUAGUGUUACCA